Molecule: non-coding RNA, 708 nt
Organism: Pelobates cultripes (western spadefoot toad)
Lineage: Eukaryota; Metazoa; Chordata; Amphibia; Anura; Pelobatidae
Source: the annotation of a GenBank genome assembly
CAGUCUCCUUGCACCAACAGCUCCACCUUCUGUGGAGUCAUCAAUCCUGAUGACCUUUGUCCAAGUCAAUGCAUCUUAUUGAGAAGCAUUGGGGAUCCAUGGCACUUGCAAUGCCCUGUCAAUCUGAUACUUCUUAUAGAAAAGCAUUGACUCUUGAGAUCGCCGAUGUUAUAGAGUCUUCUUAUAGAGAAGCAUUGCAUGUGUUCUGUGUAAUCCUGUUGUGUGUAAUGACACCAAACAUGAAAACCUUUGAAUGUCUUGAGGAAGAAAGGUCUUUGAUAGCGGUCUGCGUGAUAGAGGCGUGUUCUUUGACAAAUGUAAAUAUUGCCUUUUCUCAAAAAUCAAUAGGGUUUAUGCACCAAACCAUUAAAUUGAGACAUUAUGAAUUUGGUUAUUGCAGUGUCCCGAUGUCCUGCAAAAGAGCCAAAAAGUAGCUGCCACUAAGCUUUCAAUGGUACAUAUCCCUGUAGAAAUGCAUCAUAUGGGCUUUCCCUUCAUGGAUGUAUGUUGGUGCUCCUGUGGACUUACUACCACAUGUGGUUUUCAUAUCCCAAGGUAAUCCCUUUCAAUGUGAGUGUGUGCCCCACUUACAAGACAUCUUUCACAGACUUUUUGACCUUGACCCUUGGGCAUUUUUAUUGUCACACACUAUAGAGGGUUUAACUAUACAACAACAGAUGCUAUUCAGAUUGCACUAGCUCCUCAAAG